Molecule: transfer RNA, 71 nt
Filed under: Marmota monax (woodchuck)
Lineage: Eukaryota; Metazoa; Chordata; Mammalia; Rodentia; Sciuridae
Description: tRNA.Thr
Source: RNAcentral
GGGGUUGUGGCUCAGUCGUGGAGCGCUCGCCUAGUGUGUGUGGGGCCCUGGGUUCAAUCCUCAGCACCACA